UGCCAGCAGCCGCGGUAAUACGAAGGGGGCUAGCGUUGUUCGGAAUUACUGGGCGUAAAGCGCACGUAGGCGGAUAUUUAAGUCGGGGGUGAAAUCCCGCAGCUCAACUGCGGAACUGCCUUUGAUACUGGGUAUCUUGAGUAUGGAAGAGGUGAGUGGAAUUCCGAGUGUAGAGGUGAAAUUCGUAGAUAUUCGGAGGAACACCAGUGGCGAAGGCGGCUCACUGGUCCAUUACUGACGCUGAGGUGCGAAAGCGUGGGGAGCAAACAGGAUUAGAUA
Molecule: ribosomal RNA, 279 nt
Filed under: uncultured bacterium
Lineage: Bacteria
Description: partial 16S ribosomal RNA
Rfam family: Bacterial small subunit ribosomal RNA
Source: RNAcentral